RNAcentral lists this unclassified non-coding RNA (391 nucleotides) under soil metagenome. RNAcentral's name for it is "partial contains 5.8S ribosomal RNA, internal transcribed spacer 2, and large subunit ribosomal RNA". The stretch from base 1 to 122 matches the Rfam family "5.8S ribosomal RNA", at positions 35 to 154 of the family's 154-position model. The record is from RNAcentral.
GAUGAAGAACGCAGUGAAAUGCGAUACUUGGUGUGAAUUGCAGAAUCCCGUGAACCAUCGAGUCUUUGAACGCAAGUUGCGCCCGAAGCCAUUAGGCCGAGGGCACGCCUGCCUGGGCGUCACACGUCGUUGCCCCCCCAUCUACUCCUUCGGGAUUGCGGGGGGCGGAUGAUGGCCUCCCGUGCGCCUCGUCGCGCGGUUGGCAUAAAUGCCAAGUCCUCGGCGACACACGCCACGACAAUCGGUGGUUGCGAAACCUCGGUUGCCCGUCGUGUGCGGUCGUCGCGCAUCGAGGGCUCGAAAAAAUUGCCGGGCUCCGGCUCGGCUUUCAACGCGACCCCAGGUCAGGCGGGGUUACCCGCUGAAUUUAAGCAUAUCAAUAAGCGGAGGA